Molecule: ribosomal RNA, 501 nt
Filed under: uncultured bacterium
Lineage: Bacteria
Description: partial 16S ribosomal RNA
Rfam family: Bacterial small subunit ribosomal RNA
Source: RNAcentral
AUUGAACGCUGGCGGCAUGCCUUGCACAUGCAAGUCGAACGGCAGCACGGGUGCUUGCACCUGGUGGCGAGUGGCGAACGGGUGAGUAAUAUAUCGGAACGUACCUUAUUGUGGGGGAUAACGCAGCGAAAGCUGUGCUAAUACCGCAUAAUCCCUAAGGGGGAAAGCGGGGGACCGUAAGGCCUCGCGCAAUUAGAGCGGCCGAUACCUGAUUAGCUAGUUGGUGAGGUAAAGGCUCACCAAGGCAACGAUCAGUAGCUGGUCUGAGAGGACGAUCAGCCACACUGGGACUGAGACACGGCCCAGACUCCUACGGGAGGCAGCAGUGGGGAAUUUUGGACAAUGGGGGCAACCCUGAUCCAGCAAUGCCGCGUGAGUGAAGAAGGCCUUCGGGUUGUAAGGCUCUUUUGUCAGGGAAGAAACAGCAGCUCUAACACAGUUUGCGAAUGACGGUACCUGAAGAAUAAGCACCGGCUAACUACGUGCCAGCCGCCGCGGUAA